Molecule: ribosomal RNA, 301 nt
Filed under: uncultured bacterium
Lineage: Bacteria
Description: partial 16S ribosomal RNA
Rfam family: Bacterial small subunit ribosomal RNA
Source: RNAcentral
CAGUCGCCGCGGUAAGACAGAGGUCCCGAGCGUUGUUCGGAUUCAUUGGGCGUAAAGGGUGUGUAGGAGGCCAGGUAAGUCAGGUGUGAAAUCUCGGAGCUUAACUCUGAAACUGCGCUUGAUACUGCUUGGCUAGAGGAUCGGAGGGGGUAACGGAAUUUAUGGUGUAGCAGUGAAAUGCGUAGAGAUGUGGAGGAAUACCGAUGGCGAAGGCAGCCCCCUGGGCCAAUACUGACGCUCAUGCACGAAAGCGUAGGGAGCAAACAGGAUUAGAUACCCCUGUAGUCCCUGUCUCUUAUAC